RNA transcript from Nicotiana tabacum (common tobacco), 1427 nucleotides. It is a transcript of the gene named SUMO-conjugating enzyme UBC9, with no coding region annotated. The record is from RefSeq and is a predicted model, not a curated record. Lineage: Eukaryota; Viridiplantae; Streptophyta; Magnoliopsida; Solanales; Solanaceae.
UACUGUUCGCUUCUCAGAAUCUGAAAAUAGCAUCUUUGUAGGUUAAUCUCUCAGAGGGAUUUGGUCGAGGAUGGCGUCCAAGAGGAUUCUAAAAGAGCUCGAGGCUCUCGUGAAAGAUCCUCCUGUCUUUUGCACUCUUGAGGGAGUUGGUCGAGGAUGGCGUCCAAGAGGAUUCUAAAAGAGCUCGAGGAUCUUGUGUCUUUUGCACUCUUGGUCCAGUUGCUGCGGACGAUUUGUUUCACUGGGAAGCAACAAUUAUUGGUCCGCCUGAUAGUCCCUAUGCCGGUGGAAUGUUUCUUGUUACCAUUCAUUUUCUGCCUGAUUAUCCAUUUAAGCCACCCAAGAUAGCUUUUAGGACAAAGGUUUUCCACCCAAACAUCAACAGCAAUGGUAGCCUUUGCCUUGACGUUUUGAAGGAACAGUGGAGCCCAGCACUUACAAUCUCCACGGUGAAGUUCAUUUCCUGUUGUUCCCAUGCUGAUUUAAUCUUUUGUUUUUGCUUCUUAUUUACAUCCCAAGAGUUCUGAGGUCCAUUACCAUCCCUGUAUAUAUUGCUGAGAAUAUUGUCGAAUGGAUUUCGAUGGUGGAUCAUGAGGACUUUUACGUCGAAUAUUUAGUUCUUGUUCUAAACUAACAUAAAUGAGUCAAACAUAGGAGAUUAAAAUACAUUCACCUAAUACCUUGCUUUUUGUUUGGAUUCUUUUAUCGUAUACAACUAUACAUGAAACAUCUUCUAUAUUUUCAGAUUGAACUUAUGUGAGAACCAGCAACUUUAAUCUUUUGCUUCUUGAACGUGUAACAUUACUAUUAUCCUCCUUCCAAAUGAAACUCUUGCAUCAGUUGAAUUUCUUCUUCCUUUUUCCGAUGGUGUCCGAGUCAACAUGCGCAUACCUCGACUAUUACACCGGGUACCUAUUAAUUCCCACCGGGAUAGGUACUUGGUAACUAAUAACUAUUCCCAUCAAGACUUAGGUAGAUGGGAAGAAAUUAGUUAGUGUUUUUGGCAGUUGAUGUGCUUCCCACCAGCGCGGUUACUGCUUAUUGUUACUGCUUCCUUCCAUCUAAUUUUCUGGCUCUUAGAUGUAACGAAAUGGUGGUACCUUGAGCUCCAAAGUGGUACAUUGAUAUUAAAGUGUUAAGAAUGUGCCAAGUCAGGAUGAAGUUUUAACAUUUAUAGUUUAGUCCUACUUGUUAUAUUAUUUUCAUUAGUUACCUCAUUAGCUAGUUCACGCUUUUAUACUCUGUUAGGGCUCAUUGUAGAAGAUGUUGAAUAAAAAAUCUCAAUUUUUAUCUUUUAAUUAGUGGUAUGUUAAGAAAAUGAAGUGUUUCUUAUGCAUAAUUAGCUCAAGGGGAAAGGUUAUGUUGUUGCUUCUUGAAACACUUCAAUUUAGUUUUUUGGUUUUUGUUAUGAUAUAAUGGUUUUGUAA